UUUCCGUAGGUGAACCUGCGGAAGGAUCAUUAUUGUAUAACCGAGGUGCGAGGGCUGUCGCUGACCCGAAAGGUCGUGCACGCCCGACUGCCCUCACACACAUCCAUCUCACCCCUAUGUGCACCACCGCGUGGGUCCCCCUUUGGCUUGUUCGGAGGGGUGCUUACGUUUUCACACAAACUUUGUAUGCAGUGUAGAAUGUAUUUUUUGUUUUUGCGAUCACGCAAUCAAUACAACUUUCAACAACGGAUCUCUUGGCUCUC
RNAcentral lists this unclassified non-coding RNA (263 nucleotides) under plant metagenome. RNAcentral describes it as "partial contains small subunit ribosomal RNA, internal transcribed spacer 1, and 5.8S ribosomal RNA". The record is from RNAcentral.